UGUGUUGUAACUCAGUGGUGAAGUGUGUGCUUAGAAUGUACAAGACCCUGGGUUCAAUUCCCAGCACCACUA
This 72-nucleotide transfer RNA is filed under the name Marmota monax (woodchuck). It matches the Rfam family "tRNA". From Rfam's summary of the family: Transfer RNA (tRNA) molecules are approximately 80 nucleotides in length. Their secondary structure includes four short double-helical elements and three loops (D, anti-codon, and T loops). Further hydrogen bonds mediate the characteristic L-shaped molecular structure. tRNAs have two regions of fundamental functional importance: the anti-codon, which is responsible for specific mRNA codon recognition, and the 3' end, to which the tRNAs corresponding amino acid is attached (by aminoacyl-tRNA synthetases). tRNAs cope with the degeneracy of the genetic code in two manners: having more than one tRNA (with a specific anti-codon) for a particular amino acid; and 'wobble' base-pairing, i.e. permitting non-standard base-pairing at the 3rd anti-codon position. Lineage: Eukaryota; Metazoa; Chordata; Mammalia; Rodentia; Sciuridae. The record is from Rfam by way of RNAcentral.